UACGUAGGGUGCAAGCGUUACUCGGAAUUACUGGGCGUAAAGCGUGCGCAGGCGGUUUUGUAAGUCCGAUGUGAAAUCCCCGGCUUAACCUGGGAACUGCGUUUGAAACUACAAGGCUAGAGUGUGGCAGAGGGGGGUGGAAUUCCACGUGUAGCAGUGAAAUGCGUAGAGAUGUGGAGGAACACCGAUGGCGAAGGCAGCCCCCUGGGUUAACACUGACGCUCAGGCACGAAAGCGUGGGGAGCAAACAGG
RNAcentral lists this ribosomal RNA (252 nucleotides) under uncultured bacterium. Its description in RNAcentral is "partial 16S ribosomal RNA". It matches the Rfam family "Bacterial small subunit ribosomal RNA", at positions 524 to 776 of the family's 1533-position model. The record is from RNAcentral.